AAAAAGAAAAGAUACACUGAAGGAAAACACGGUGAAGAUUUCAGUAGGUAUAAUGCAGCUGAAGGAUGGAGUGCUGAAAGCAGUCAGAGGAAUGGUACUUCCCCUUGUUGUGCCACCAGGAUUUGAAGCAGAGCAAUUGCAAAAAGCUGCAGAACAAAAAAUGAUGGCCUUUAACAAACAUUUUCGAAGUGGCCCUUACUUUCUGCUCUACCCUGACGGUACAAAGAUAACCAAUAUACCAGGGACAGAAACAGCAUUCUCUCUGAAACUGUAUAAAGAAGCACUGGGGAAAGCCUACCAACGCAUCACAGUUUACCUUUGCACAGUUGAAGAUUUCCUUACUGAAUCUCAGCAAUCAACCUCAGACUCUUCUGAUUCUGAAGUGAUUAUAACAAGCAGAAGAACUAAAGAAUUUAAUUUGGCUGAUACAGUAGUAAGUGUAAUAUUUGCCAUUUUACAUGUGCUUAUAAGUCAGAGAUAGUAUUUACAUAACCAUUUUUUGGCAGGA
Fundulus heteroclitus (mummichog) is the source of this 508-nucleotide long non-coding RNA. RefSeq lists it as uncharacterized. The transcript has 3 exons. The record is from RefSeq and is a predicted model, not a curated record. Lineage: Eukaryota; Metazoa; Chordata; Actinopteri; Cyprinodontiformes; Fundulidae.